CCUACGGGUGGCAGCAGUGGGGAAUAUUGGGCAAUGGGCGCAAGCCUGACCCAGCAACGCCGCGUGAAGGAAGAAGGCUCUCUGGUUGUAAACUUCUUUUAUCAGGGACGAAGCAAGUGACGGUCCCUGAUGACUAAGCCACGGCUAACUACGUGCCAGCAGCCGCGGUAAUACGUAGGUGGCAAGCGUUAUCCGGAUUUACUGGGUGUAAAGGGCGUGUAGGCGGGAAAGCAAGUCAGAUGUGAAAACCAUGGGCUCAACCUGUGGCCUGCAUUUGAAACUGUUUUUCUUGAGUACUGGAGAGGCAGACGGAAUGCCUGGUGUAGCGGUGAAAUGCGUAGAUAUUAGGCAGAACACCGGUGGCGAAGGCGGUCUGCUGGACAGCAACUGACGCUGAGGCGCGAAAGCGUGGGGAGCAAACAGGAUUAGAUACCCUGGUAGUC
This 443-nucleotide ribosomal RNA is filed under the name uncultured bacterium. RNAcentral describes it as "partial 16S ribosomal RNA". It matches the Rfam family "Bacterial small subunit ribosomal RNA", at positions 338 to 795 of the family's 1533-position model. The record is from RNAcentral.